GAACGCGACAUGAGCAAUCAGCAGAAAAAAUGACAAGACUUAGUGUUAUUGAACUUUGACAAAUAAAAAUGAAAUAUAUAGCUAUUUACUAAACAGGGUAAGAUCUCUUUUAUAUAACGUUAGCCUAAUACAAUUUGGAAACCCAGCUUUGUAGUAACGUUAACUAGCUACUAUGGCUAAUAAUGCUAACGUUAGCUAGCUGUUUUUUUUGUUGUCUAGCUGACUUGCUACUGAAGCUAGCUAGUUAAGUGCUUUUGCAAAAAUGUUACAAUGUCGGAGAGACCGCAAGGUUUACAAAUAUCCGCUGUCGAAAACCAAAUGAAAGUCUAAGAUGAAGGGGAGAAUGUCUUGCUUUUAAAUUUUUUUUAUUACAGUGGACAAAUUGCCUGAUUGAUCUGAUGAGAAGGUAAUAAUCAUUUCAACGUCAUAGGCGAAUGUAUGUAUUAUAAAGAUCUAUAUAUAACUAACCCAAUAUAGUUAAUCGGUGUCGUUUACAAUGGGAACAAAUGAAGCAAGGAGGUGGGCAAAGUGAAGCACGAGCAAGCGAGAUCCUAUUGGCAUGUAGCAAGUAUUUGCAUAAAUUUACUGUGACGUGUGUGCGGUGUGCAUAAAUCAAUUCGACCUUGCACUCCUAAACAACUCAAUUUAAAGUCUAUAAAACGUAUUGCACUUCCUAUCAGAUGCUAGAUUUUGGAACAUAAAUGUAUUGAUCAGAUGUUACAUCAAUGAGAAAAUUAUCAGAAUGUCUGGCCAGAUUCACCCAAAUUGUGUUUGAAUACUCAUACUAACUGUACUAUUUGUGACUAAAUUGAGUAUGUAGUGUUCUUAUUGGUCAUAGUAUGGAUAUAGUUAGUAUGCCAAAAGUUCCAGGAUGUCGUACAAAAUUCGCCAAAAUACAUCAACGCCUGACGUUGAAUAUGGCCAGUGUCAUUAAAUUGUUUCCAGCAGCACAGUCUCCAACUUUUUGGACAACAUAUAAACAGCCUAAUCAGCUCUGCUAGGGCGAGCAAAAUGGUCAGAGUGAGGUGUCAUUUGUGUCUGGAAGUAAAAAAUAAAAAAUUGUGUCUGGAAGUAGCUAGCAAGCUAGCCAACAACGUUAGCCAGUUAGCAAGGGUGCCUUACUGCCGUUGUGAGUCGGAUUAACCCUACUCCUCGGCCAGUGCGUCAUGAACGCUCUGAAUUUACGAACGCCAGAGGGAACUCCAGAUACGCUGGAAACAUCAAACACUUUUUUUCUGAUAACUAGUUCAUCUGGAGCCCAGUUUCAUAAUAUGACCAUAUUUCCCAGCUGCUUGCUGUUGUUUUGAAGUAAUCACGAAAAAACGGCUUAUUUUAGGGCAAUUUUCACCCUGCCAGCUCCUAUUAGUUCUAUUGAGCAUCGUGGCACCAACUUUCCUUCCGAACAUUCUAUUCCCAGUUUAUUGUUAUAUGUCACAAUGUCACUUCGCUAUUGUUGGCAAUGAGACCCGCUCACAUUGUUUAUAGAUUGACACCAUCGAGGUGCGGAUGUUCACUUCUACACAAGUUGUUUUUUUUCCAGUUUCGUCCGGCGAACAGAUUGUAGUGGUAAAAUAAAAAGUGAUACAUUUUUUGGUGCCAUUUAGGCGAAAUGGAAGUAAGCAUCACUCUAGUCAAAACAGACUCUGCGAACAUUUGAUUCCAUUCAUUUGCUAUGGCCUCGUGCUAGUGUUCCAGCUUAGCCAACGCCCUUUUGCUGUUUUUCAGCCUUGGGUGAAUUUUGACUCGCUCUAUUGUCCAGCGUCCUCCCGAUUGAAUCUACGAACACACCCGAAGUUUAAAAAAAAUGUAUAGCAAGACAGGUUGCAUAGCAACAGCAUCAACUUCCGGCAGACAGGCGAAGCGCUAGUACACUCAACUUAAAGGAUAAUGUUUGUUUACAGUAUACUAAAAUUAAUUUAUAGUAUGUAGUGUAUAUACUCAUUAAGUAUGUAGUAUACAGUAUUACUAUGGGUAUUCGAACACAGCUCUAGUUCCAUCCUUUCCCACUACCCCCAACUGGACUUCCUCUCACUACCAUAUUUGGUGGCGAGAAAACGUUCCAAGGGAUGCUUCAGCUUUAUAGCCCAUGUGACUUGUCUGGGUUACCUUUUCUGUCUGUGUCAUAGCCUUAGCUGGGGGUAACUUGUGGAAUAGACACUGACUUGAAUGCAGCUUUAACCAAUCAGCAUCCAGAAUCCAACCACCCAUUGUAUAAUGCGUGACACCUUGCUUGCUACUUGCUUUGUAAAGCAUUACAAGUUGUGCAAUAUGUCCUUGAGUGGCUUUACAUUGUUUGUGUUUGUCUGAACAUCAGACUGUUAACAUAGUUACCAGCUGGCAUGUCUUCACUGACAUUUUCUACCUCUUCCUGACCCGGUGUGUAAUACCUUCAAGUUUCAUGCAGACCACCGUAGUCCCUGUGCCCAAGAACACCCAAGGUAAACUGUCUAAAUGACUGUCGCCCAUAGCACUCACAUCUGUAGCCAUGAAAUGCUUUGAAAGGAUCAAAUCAAAUUUAUUUAUAUAGCCCUUCGUACAUCAGCUGAUAUCUCAAAGUGCUGUACAGAAACCCAGCCUAAAACCCCAAACAGCAAGCAAUGCAGGUGGAGAAGCACGGUGGCUAGGAAAAACUCCCUAGAAAGGCCAAUACCUAGGAAGAAACCUAGAGAGGAACCAGGCUAUGUGGGGUGGCCAGUCCUCUUCUGGCUGUGCCGGGUGGAGAUUAUAACAGAACAUGGUCAAGAUGUUCAAUGUUCAUAAAUGACCAGCAUGGUCGAAUAAUAAUAAGGCAGAACAGUUGAAACUAGAGCAGCAGCACAGUCAGGUGGAAGUUGAAACUGGAGCAGCAGCAUGGCCAGGUAGACUGGGGACAGCAAGGAAUCAUCAUGUCAGGUAGUCCUGGGGCAUGGUCCUAGGGCUCAGGUCAGUUGAAACUGGAACAGCAGCAUGGCCAGGUGGACUGGGGACAGCAAGGAGUCAUCAUGUCAGGUAGUCCUGGGGCAUGGUCCUAGGGCUCAGGUCCUCCGAGAGAGAGAAAGAAAGAGAGAAGGAGAGAAUUAGAGAACGCACACUUAGAUUCACACAGGACACCGACACUGAUGGUCAUGGCACACAUCAACACCAUACACCCUGGACCCGCUCCAAUUCGCAUUCCGCCCCAACAAAUCAAAUCAAACUUUAUUUGUCACGUGCCGAAUACAGCAAGUGUAGACCUUAUAGGGAAAUGCUUACUUACAAACCCUUAACCAACAGUGCAGUUCAAGAAGAGUUAAGAAAAUAUUUACCAAAUAAACGAAAGUAAAAAAUUAUAAAAAGUAACACUAACAUAACAAUAACAAAGCUAUAUACAGGGGGUACCGGUACUGAGUCAGUGUGCGGGGGUACAGGUUAAAGGUAAUUUGUACAUAUAGGUAGGGUUGAAGUGACUAUGCAUAGAUAAUCAACAGUGAGUAGCAGCAGUGUACAAAACAAAUGGAGGAGGGGGGGGUCAAUGUAAUAGUCCGGUGGCCAUUUGAUUAAUUGUUCAGCAGGCUUGGGGGUAGAAGCUGUUGUGUCGUCAGCAAACUUAAUGAUGGUGUUGGAGUCGUGUUUGGCCGCGUAGUCGUGGGUGAACUAGGAGUACAGGAGGGGAUUAAGUACACACCCUCGAGGGGCCCCCGUGCUGAGGUUCAGCGUGGCAGACUAGUUGUUGCCUACCCUUACCAGGAUCCAGUUGCAGAGGGAGGUGUUUAGUCCCAGGGUCCUUAGUUUAGUGAUGAGCUUCGUGGGCACUAUGGUGUUGAACACUGAGCUAUAGUCAAUGAACAGCAUUCUCACAUAGGUGUUCCUUUUGUCCAGGUGGGAAAGAGCAGUGUGGAGUGCGAUUGAGAUUGCGUCAUCUGUGGAUCUGUUGGGGCGGUGUGCGAAUUGGAGUGGGUCUAGGGUAUCUGGGAGGAUGCUGUUGAUGUCAGCCAUGACCAGCCUUUCAAAGCACUUCAUGGCUUCCGACGUGAGUGCUACGGGGCGGUAAUCAUUUACGCAGGUUAACUUCGCUGCCUUGGGCACAAGGUUUAUGGUGGUCUGCUUGAAGCAUGUCGGUAUUACAGACUCAAUCAGGGAGAGGUUGAAAAUGUCAGUGAAGACACUUGCCAGUUGGUCUGCGCAUGCUUUGAGUACACGUCCUGGUAAUCCAUCUGGCUUUGUGAAUGUUGACCUGUUUAAAGGUCUUGCUCACAUCGGCUACCGAGAGUGUUAUCACACAGUCAUCCGGUACAGCUGGUGCAUGCUUCAGUGUUGCUUGCCUCGAAGUGAGCAUAAAAGGCAUUUAGCUAGUCUGGUAGGCUCACUGGGCAGCUUGCGUCUGGGUUUCCCUUUGUAGUCCGUAAUAGUUUUCAAGCCCUGCCACAUCCGACAAGCGUCAGAGCCGGUGUAGUAGGAUUUAAUCUUAAUCCUGUAUUGACGCUUUGCUUGUUUGAUGGUUCGUCUGAGGGCGUAGCUGUCAAGACUUCCGCGGAAGUUGGUCCCUCUCCUAGUUCAGGCGGUGUUCGGCUUUCUAGCCAUCGCCGAUCCACCUUUCAUUUUCCAUUGGUUUUGUCUUGUCUUCCCUCACACCUGGUUUCAAUUACAUCAAUUACAUGUUGUGUAUUUAACCCUCUGUUUCCCCCAUGUCCUUGUCCAGAAUUGUUUAUUGUAAGUGCUUGUGCACGUUAUGUCUGAUGUGCGUCGGGUUAUGUACCCAUUUAUUGAUUGUUCUAUUUUACCCCUUACAGUAGCAGAUUUUUAUAUAGGCGUCCAGAUUAGUGUCCCGCUCCUUGAAAGUGGCAGCUUUAGCUCGAUGCGGAUGUUGCCUGUAAUCCAUGGCUUCUGGUUGGGAUAUGUUUGUACAGUCAAUGUGAAGACGACGUCAUCGAUGCACUUAUUCAUGAAGCCGAUGACUGGGGUGGUAUACUCCUCAAUGCCAUGGGAUGAAUCUCGGAACAUAUUCCAGUCUGUGCUAGCAAAACCGUCCUGUAGCGUAGCAUCCACGUCAACUGACCACUUCCAUAUUGAGCGAGUCACUAGUACUUCCUGCUUUAGUUUUAGCUUGUAAGCCGGAAUCAGGAGGAUAGAAUUGUGGUCAGAUUUGCCAAAUGGGCAGGGGAGAGCUUUUGUAUGCAUCUCUGUGUGUGGAGUAAAGGUUGUCUAGGAUUUUUUUUCUCUGGUUAUACAUGUGACAUGCUGGUAAAUACGAGGUAUAACUGAUUUAAGUUUGCCUGCAUUAAAGUCCCCGGCUACUAGGAGCGCCGCUUCUGGGUGAGCAUUUUCUUGUUUGCUUAUGGCCUUAUAGAGUUGGUUGAGUGCGGUCUUAGUGCCAGCAUUGGUCUGUGAUGGUAAAUAGACGGCUACAAAUAAUAUAGAUAGUGUGGUCUACAGCUUAUCAUAAGGUACUCUACCUCAGACAAGCAAUAACUCUAGCCUUCUUAAAUAUUAGACAUCGCGCACCAGCUGUUAUUGACAAAAAGACACACACCCCCACCCCUCGUCUUACCAGACAUAGCUUCUCUGUUCUGCCGGUGCAUUGAGAAUCCCUCCGGCUCUAUGUUAUCCGUGUCGUCGUUCAGCCACGACUCAGUGAAACAUAAGCUAUUACAGUUCUUAAUGUCAUGUUGGUAGGAUAAUCGUAGGUCAUCAAUUUUAUUUUCUAAUUAUUGCAUAAUAGCAAAUAUAAUUGAUGGCCGUGGGAGUUUACUCGCUCGCCUACUGAUUCUCAAAAGGAAGCCCGAUCUGCUUCCUCUUCACGCAAAUGACGGGGAUCUGUGCCUGUUCCCGGGAGAGCAGUAUACCCUUCUCGUAGGACUCGUUAAAGGAGAAAGCUUCUUCCAGUUCGUGGUAAUUCACUAAGGCUACAGUUACAAGGCCCACCAGCCCCUGCCAACAGUGGUCUAAACAGUCGCCUUGUGAUCUUUGAUGAGAACAAGGCUGCCAGUGCUGGACCGUCUGAUCCAAAUUUGGAAUCUUGGAUGGCCCCACCCCCAUCGAGAUCUAAGGAGAAUGAGAAAUGGAGCAACAUAAAGAUGUCUAUGAAGUCCAGGUUUGGUCACAGUGUUGUGGCUCCGCCCAGCAAGCCAAACUUCCAGCCCUUUGGAGGAGUCGGAUCAGCCUCCGACCAUGACACUGUAAGAUCAACCCAGCGGUGAAUUCGGUGUUGUCUGCACGAAAGCCCUGCAGGGAUGAGACUCCUCUGAAGAGACUGCAGCAACAUCAGCAGCAGGAAGAGGGGAAAGCUCAGAAGCAGAGCAUGUAUUGCAAGGACCUGUUGCUCAGUGUCGCCUCUGAGUUCUGCUUUUAGGAACUGAGGGCAGAAAGCUACCACCAGAAGAAGGCCUUGGAGUCAGAGGCAGUGUCAAGGAAGAGCAAGGGGGCUCUGGUCUUCCAAACGGACACCUUUCCACCUGAACAUUGACAUGUUCAGAUUGUUUUGUAUUUAGGUAGCAGACUGCCAGUAUCAUCUGUUAUGUCUUUCGUCAUGUAUGUAUUUUACUGUUUGUGAUGUGUAUAUAUAAACUGCAGUUGGAACGUCAUAGGUCACACCAGUCAUAGCCAUAGAUAACUAUCUAGGCUCUGGGCCACACAGUAUCCCAGAGGGAAAAAUCAUCUAAUGUAAUUGGAUUGAAAAGAGUUGUGUGAGAAAAUGGUGCUAUGAUUUGAGAACUGAAAUACUGGUGGUUGUUGUUACUGCAUAUCCUUGGAUAUUCUGCAAUAAUUGUCUGUUGAGACUGUUCUGUAAUAUAUUUUCUUUCAUGGCAAUUCACUACAAAACUGUAUUCUACAUUUUACAUUCAUUCCACUAAUCUAUUAUGUUUGGAAAAGGGCUUUAGAUAACAUGCCAUGUUCCGUCUGGUUCCUCUCUCCAUUAUUUCUUUGCCUUCUUCACGUUACCUCUUAGGAAUUAAACUUUCAGUACCCCAUGUGGUGAAAGUAGUGUAUGAGAAUGACAGAGAGAAAUCCAGAGGAGGAGCCUAUGACAAGGCUCAAUUCACAUUAUAGAUGUCACUGCUGUAUAUAUUGGUAAAAAUGUCCCCCCAAGGCCAUGUGGUGAUAGUGUUAAAUAAAUGUGAAAUAAUGG
Molecule: long non-coding RNA, 7084 nt
Organism: Oncorhynchus kisutch (coho salmon)
Lineage: Eukaryota; Metazoa; Chordata; Actinopteri; Salmoniformes; Salmonidae
Exons: 4
Source: RefSeq, a predicted model, not a curated record